RNAcentral lists this ribosomal RNA (468 nucleotides) under uncultured bacterium. RNAcentral describes it as "partial 16S ribosomal RNA". It matches the Rfam family "Bacterial small subunit ribosomal RNA", at positions 28 to 507 of the family's 1533-position model. The record is from RNAcentral.
GACGAACGCUGGCGGCGUGCUUAACACAUGCUAGUCGAACGGAAAGGCCCUGCUUUUGUGGGGUGCUCGAGUGGCGAACGGGUGAGUAACACGUGAGUAACCUGCCCUUGACUUUGGGAUAACUUCAGGAAACUGGGGCUAAUACCGGCUAGGAGCUCCUGCUGCAUGGUGGGGGUUGGAAAGUUUCGGCGGUUGGGGAUGGACUCGCGGCUUAUCAGCUUGUUGGUGGGGUAGUGGCUUACCAAGGCUUUGACGGGUAGCCGGCCUGAGAGGGUGACCGGCCACAUUGGGACUGAGAUACGGCCCAGACUCCUACGGGAGGCAGCAGUGGGGAAUAUUGCACAAUGGGCGGAAGCCUGAUGCAGCAACGCCGCGUGCGGGAUGACGGCCUUCGGGUUGUAAACCGCUUUCGCCUGUGACGAAGCGUGAGUGACGGUAAUGGGUAAAGAAGCACCGGCUAACUACGUG